CCUACGGGAGGCAGCAGUGGGGAAUAUUGCACAAUGGGCGCAAGCCUGAUGCAGCGACGCCGCGUGAGCGAUGAAGGCCUUCGGGUCGUAAAGCUCUUUUGUCAGGGAAGAAACGGUGAGGGCUAAUAUCCCUUGCUAAUGACGGUACCUGAAGAAUAAGCACCGGCUAACUACGUGCCAGCAGCCGCGGUAAUACGUAGGGGGGGAGCGUUGUCCUGAAUUACUGGGCAUAAAGGGUGCGUAGGCGGUCAUGUAAGUCAGAUGUGAAAGCCCUCGGCUUAACCGAGGUAAUCAUUUGAAACUGUCUUACUAGAGUGCAGGAGAGGAAGGCGGAAUUCCUAGUGUAGCGGUGAAAUGCGUAGAUAUUAGGAAGAACACCAGUGGCGAAGGCGGCUUUCUGGACUGUAACUGACGCUGAGGCACGAAAGCGUGGGGAGCGAACAGGAUUAGAUACCCUUGUAGUC
This 464-nucleotide ribosomal RNA is filed under the name uncultured bacterium. RNAcentral's name for it is "bacterial SSU rRNA". It matches the Rfam family "Bacterial small subunit ribosomal RNA", at positions 338 to 795 of the family's 1533-position model. The record is from RNAcentral.